AGCAGCCGCGGUAAUUCCAGCUCCAAUAGCGUAUAUUAAAGUUGCUGCAGUUAAAAAGCUCGUAGUUGAAUUUCGGGACUAAUAUGUCGGUCGUGCCUCGGUACGUACUGGUUUAUUGGUUUCUCCUUUCUGAAGAACCAUGAUGUCAUUUAUUUGGUGUCGUGGGGAAUCAGGACUGUUACUUUGAAAAAAUUAGAGUGUUUAAAGCAGGCUCACGCUUGAAUACAUUAGCAUGGAAUAAUGAAAUAGGACGUUUGAUUCUAUUUUGUUGGUUUCUAGGAUCGACGUAAUGAUUAAUAGGGAUAGUUGGGGGCAUUAGUAUUCAAUUGUCAGAGGUGAAAUUCUUGGAUUUAUUGAAGACUAACUACUGCGAAAGCAUUUGCCAAGGAUGUUUUCAUUAAUCAAGAACGAAAGUUAGGGGAUCGAAGACGAUCAGAUACCGUCGUAGUCUUAACCAUAAACUAUGCCGACUAGGGAUCGGAUGAUGUUAAUUUUUUUAAUGACUCAUUCGGCGCCUUAC
Molecule: non-coding RNA, 520 nt
Filed under: uncultured Glomus
Lineage: Eukaryota; Fungi; Glomeromycota; Glomeromycetes; Glomerales; Glomeraceae
Also listed under: 1 other name
Description: SSU rRNA
Rfam family: Eukaryotic small subunit ribosomal RNA
Source: RNAcentral